This 849-nucleotide ribosomal RNA is filed under the name Bifidobacterium hapali. RNAcentral describes it as "bacterial SSU rRNA". It matches the Rfam family "Bacterial small subunit ribosomal RNA", at positions 20 to 859 of the family's 1533-position model. Lineage: Bacteria; Bacillati; Actinomycetota; Actinomycetes; Bifidobacteriales; Bifidobacteriaceae. The record is from RNAcentral.
CUGCUCAGAUUGAACGCUGGCGGCAGGCCUAACACAUGCAAGUCGAGCGGUAGCACAGAGAGCUUGCUCUCGGGUGACGAGCGGCGGACGGGUGAGUAAUGUCUGGGAAACUGCCUGAUGGAGGGGGAUAACUACUGGAAACGGUAGCUAAUACCGCAUAACGUCGCAAGACCAAAGUGGGGGACCUUCGGGCCUCAUGCCAUCAGAUGUGCCCAGAUGGGAUUAGCUAGUAGGUGGGGUAACGGCUCACCUAGGCGACGAUCCCUAGCUGGUCUGAGAGGAUGACCAGCCACACUGGAACUGAGACACGGUCCAGACUCCUACGGGAGGCAGCAGUGGGGAAUAUUGCACAAUGGGCGCAAGCCUGAUGCAGCCAUGCCGCGUGUGUGAAGAAGGCCUUCGGGUUGUAAAGCACUUUCAGCGGGGAGGAAGGCGAUAAGGUUAAUAACCUCGUCGAUUGACGUUACCCGCAGAAGAAGCACCGGCUAACUCCGUGCCAGCAGCCGCGGUAAUACGGAGGGUGCAAGCGUUAAUCGGAAUUACUGGGCGUAAAGCGCACGCAGGCGGUCUGUCAAGUCGGAUGUGAAAUCCCCGGGCUCAACCUGGGAACUGCAUUCGAAACUGGCAGGCUAGAGUCUUGUAGAGGGGGGUAGAAUUCCAGGUGUAGCGGUGAAAUGCGUAGAGAUCUGGAGGAAUACCGGUGGCGAAGGCGGCCCCCUGGACAAAGACUGACGCUCAGGUGCGAAAGCGUGGGGAGCAAACAGGAUUAGAUACCCUGGUAGUCCACGCCGUAAACGAUGUCGAUUUGGAGGUUGUGCCCUUGAGGCGUGGCUUCCGGAGCUAACCGCG